RNAcentral lists this long non-coding RNA (365 nucleotides) under Lathyrus oleraceus (garden pea). RNAcentral's name for it is "Pisum sativum (pea) long non-coding RNA (PSAT_LNC005846)". The record is from RNAcentral. Lineage: Eukaryota; Viridiplantae; Streptophyta; Magnoliopsida; Fabales; Fabaceae.
GAACCUAUCUGUGAGGGGGAUAUGGGUUUUUCUGCAGGAAACCAUAAACUCUACAUGUUAGACUAUGGCACGGAUCUAGAAGGGGGGAGGGGUUGAAUAGAUCCCAAUUAAAAACUUGAGUCGGCGCUACCAAUUGAAAAUUGGUUUUGAAAAUUAGUUUUGAGUGCGGAAGCAGCCGAGGAAAAUUUUAGUCUAAAACAAACCGUUAUUGGAAAACCGGAUAUGCGUUAAGCUAAUGGAUUAGAGAUAAAGUGAAAUGCAAAUCACUACACCAAUUCCACAAUCAAUUAUAUGUUUCACUUACUAGGAUUCCUAGUUCCAAUGAUCCAAAUACCAAAUUAAACAAGAUGCAAACUUAAGACAAC